Molecule: ribosomal RNA, 739 nt
Filed under: Ustilago tritici
Lineage: Eukaryota; Fungi; Basidiomycota; Ustilaginomycetes; Ustilaginales; Ustilaginaceae
Description: eukaryotic LSU rRNA
Rfam family: 5.8S ribosomal RNA (bases 281-435)
Source: RNAcentral
UUCCGUAGGGUGAACCCUGCGGAUGGGAUCAUUUCGAUGAAAAACCUUUUUUCAGAGGUGUGGCUCGCACCUGUCCAACUAAACUUGAGCUACCUUUUUUCAACACGGUUGCAUCGGUCGGCCUGUCAAACAGUGCGACGCAAGGAGAAAAUCCUCGCGUCUGCUGGGCGACGGACGGACAAUUUUAUUUAACACUUUUGGAUGAUCUAGGAUUUGAAGGAGAAAAAGUCAUUUUUACGAAUGAAAUCGACUGGUAAUGCGGUCGUCUAAUUUUAAAAACAACUUUUGGCAACGGAUCUCUUGGUUCUCCCAUCGAUGAAGAACGCAGCGAAUUGCGAUAAGUAAUGUGAAUUGCAGAAGUGAAUCAUCGAAUCUUUGAACGCACCUUGCGCUCCCGGCAGAUCUAAUCUGGGGAGCAUGCCUGUUUGAGGGCCGCGAAUUGUUUCGAACGACAGCUUUUUUCUUUUGGAAAAGGUUGACGGAUCGGUAUUGAGGGUUUUUGCCAUUUACCGUGGCUCCCUCGAAAUAGAUUAGCGCAUCCAUUUUAUAGGCAAGACGGACGAAAGCUCGAUUUUUGCUCUCUCUUCCCUGCCGGGUUUUGAUACUAUCAGGACUUCGGAGAGGUUGAGAUGGGUAGGAGCUGGACGCAACGGCUUGCUGUUUGGAGUGCUUCUGAAACCCGCCCAUGCCGAGUUUUUUAGGAAGCUAGGAAGGGAUUUAUAAUAAUCAUCGCCUCAGA